RNAcentral lists this long non-coding RNA (251 nucleotides) under Elaeis guineensis (African oil palm). RNAcentral describes it as "long non-coding RNA (EGUI_LNC080736)". The record is from RNAcentral. Lineage: Eukaryota; Viridiplantae; Streptophyta; Magnoliopsida; Arecales; Arecaceae.
AUUACCUCCUAUUUUACUAUUUUUACAGAUGUUAAGGAAUUAAGAUGAUACAAGAUGUGAAUGGAAGAGUGAUUAGAAGCAGAAUCUCCAUACUUUUAUUUUAGGUUGAAAGUCUUAUUGAAUUUGAUGUAAGGCCUAUAAAACUUUGUUGACUUUAUUGAGAUAUUAAAGCUAAAAUUUGGAUUGUUAUAUUUUUUAUCUAAAUUAUUGACUAAUUAUUCCACUGUGAAGCAUUGAUAUCAUGAUAAGAU